Astyanax mexicanus (Mexican tetra) is the source of this 462-nucleotide long non-coding RNA. RefSeq lists it as uncharacterized. Lineage: Eukaryota; Metazoa; Chordata; Actinopteri; Characiformes; Acestrorhamphidae. The transcript has 4 exons. The record is from RefSeq and is a predicted model, not a curated record.
AAUUACACUUUUAUUUACAAUUACAUUUUUUUAUUAUAUAAUUAAACAGUGGCUUGUAUGAUCAGUGGAGCUGACAAAAUAGAUAGCGAGGUGGAGGUGGUCAUAACAUUCUUAUGAGUGUCUAAUUAUUGUUACCAUUUGACAUUCAGGUAACUUUGAAAGAGCCCUCAAAUGGAGCAGAACAGCAGAGUACAAAUCCACUUUUGAUACCGAAGAAGAAACUGUACCAUCAAAAAGGCCAACAAAAAGACCCCUGAAAUAUUAUGACAGCAGUGAAGAUGAGAGAACUUUGCAAACAAAGGAUAAUAGGGAGCCUUUGACUAAGAAAAAAACAAAAGAUGGACCUGUUCCUCAACUCAAGGCAACUGUGGAAAUCCCAAAAGACAACAUGGCUAAAGUUGCACAAAAACAAGCGAAGCUUCCAGCACCCCCCAAUCUCCAUCCAAUAUGUAGAAAAAAAAU